RNAcentral lists this long non-coding RNA (493 nucleotides) under Salvia miltiorrhiza (redroot sage). Its description in RNAcentral is "long non-coding RNA (SMIL_LNC012171)". The record is from RNAcentral. Lineage: Eukaryota; Viridiplantae; Streptophyta; Magnoliopsida; Lamiales; Lamiaceae.
CACACCUUAUCUAUUCAGGAUCAAAAGCCUUUCUAAAUGACAGCAAAUCAAAAAAGAUGAGAAUAACAAAAACCCCCAAAAAAGAGAAAACCUCUUCAAGUGUGUGGUUCGAACGAAAUAGACAAAUUGCAGCUAAAAUUCCAAAAUUAUCAGAAAUAAAUAAAUAACAGGACAGCAGCGGCUCGACCGCCGCAGAGGCGCGGGCUUGCGGCAAUGACUGCCAACGCUGCUGGAUCCGCGGUAGCCGCCAUGAAUGAGACGGAGAGAUAGGGCGAGUGAGAGCAAGAGAGAGAGAGAGACAGAGAGAGAGAAUACCGAGACGUACCGUAGCGGCGCGAAGAGUAAUUACCGGCGUAUGCAGUGGCUGUCCGGGGCGGAGGUCGUCGGCGGCAACAAUAGUGUUUGGGGAUUUUAGGUGAGGAAGAAUUUGGGGAUUUAGGGAUUUUAGGGCUUCACCUCCGAGAAGAAGGGGAUGUAAGAUACCGGCGGCGGG